CCUACGGGAGGCAGCAGUGAGGAAUAUUGGUCAAUGGCCGUAAGGCUGAACCAGCCAAGCCGCGUGAAGGAAGAAGGAUCUAUGGUUUGUAAACUGCUUUUAUAGGGGAAUAAAGGUAUCCACGUGUGGAUGUUUGCAUGUACCCUAUGAAUAAGCAUCGGCUAACUCCGUGCCAGCAGCCGCGGUAAUACGGAGGAUGCGAGCGUUAUCCGGAUUUAUUGGGUUUAAAGGGUGCGUAGGUUGUUGUUUAAGUCAGCGGUGAAAGUCUGUGGCUCAACCAUAAAAUUGCCGUUGAAACUGGUCGACUAGAGUGUGUUUGAGGUAGGCGGAAUGUGUGGUGUAGCGGUGAAAUGCAUAGAGAUCACGCAGAACACCGAUUGCGAAGGCAGCUUACUAAGCCAUUACUGACGCUGAGGCACGAAAGCGUGGGGAUCAAACAGGAUUAGAUACCCUUGUAGUC
Molecule: ribosomal RNA, 460 nt
Filed under: uncultured bacterium
Lineage: Bacteria
Description: partial 16S ribosomal RNA
Rfam family: Bacterial small subunit ribosomal RNA
Source: RNAcentral